AAGAGAAUGUUCCAAUGGUUUUUUGCCUAUCAUUUUAUUGUUCAUGUGCGCAAUUUGGUGUUGAGUUGCUUGAGGACAAGUAAUGAUCUUAAGUUGAGGGUGUUGAUGUUCCUGUGUUUUACGGAACAUUUAGCAUCAUUUUCUUAGAAAAAUUAUAUGUUUUCAAGCAAUCAAAGUGAUAUUUAAUGAAGGUUUUUAGUGUUUCAGUGAAAGGAGAUAACCACAGAAGAAAACUGGAAAAAGUAGCAGAAAAGGGGAAUUGACGGUCAAAAUGACGGACCAUCGGGUUUACGACGGACCGCAAUAUAUACCGUCAAGUUGAACUAAAACAAGGCCUCUAGAGGAGUCGAGUGAUGCACAAUAUGGCGUACCAUCAGACAUGUGACGGACCACCAUAUGGACCAUCAACACUUAUCCAGAAACUACUUCUCAGAGGGACUUGGUGACGAUCAAGGUAGUGGACCGUCAGACAUGGGACGGACCACCAGAUUGACCGUCAACGCUUAUCCAAAACCUGUUCUCCAGAGGAACUCCAUGACGGUCAAAGUGGUGGAUCAUCAAUCUUGGGAUGGACCACCAGAUUGACCGUCAGUUCUUAUCCAGAAGCUGCCUUCCAAAAAGACUCCGCGACGGUAAAGAUGGCGGACCGUCAGUCCAUCGACGGACCGCCAGGUGGGCCAUUAGAUGUUAUCCAGAAACUGUCAUUCGGAUGAAUCGAUUGACGGUAAAG
Molecule: long non-coding RNA, 730 nt
Filed under: Capsicum annuum
Lineage: Eukaryota; Viridiplantae; Streptophyta; Magnoliopsida; Solanales; Solanaceae
Description: long non-coding RNA (CANN_LNC021669)
Source: RNAcentral